GACGAACGCUGGCGGCGUGCCUAAUACAUGCAAGUUGAGCGCUGAAGGUUGGUACUUGUACCAACUGGAUGAGCAGCGAACGGGUGAGUAACGCGUGGGGAAUCUGCCUUUGAGCGGGGGACAACAUUUGGAAACGAAUGCUAAUACCGCAUAAAAACUUUAAACACAAGUUUUAAGUUUGAAAGAUGCAAUUGCAUCACUCAAAGAUGAUCCCGCGUUGUAUUAGCUAGUUGGUGAGGUAAAGGCCCACCAAGGCGAUGAUACAUAGCCGACCUGAGAGGGUGAUCGGCCACAUUGGGAAUGAGACACGGCCCAAACUCCUACGGGAGGCAGCAGAAGGGAAUCUUCGGCAAUGGACGAAAGUCUGACCGAGCAACGCCGCGUGAGUGAAGAAGGUUUUCGGAUCGUAAAACUCUGUUGGUAGAGAAGAACGUUGGUGAGAGUGGAAAGCUCAUCAAGUGACGGUAACUACCCAGAAAGGGACGGCUAACUACGUG
RNAcentral lists this ribosomal RNA (497 nucleotides) under uncultured bacterium. RNAcentral describes it as "partial 16S ribosomal RNA". It matches the Rfam family "Bacterial small subunit ribosomal RNA", at positions 28 to 507 of the family's 1533-position model. The record is from RNAcentral.